UCUAUGUAAAUAUCUGAUUAUGACAGUAUUUGCUUAUGUCUUGACCAAAUCACGUGCCAGCAGUCGCGGUAAGACGUGGAAGAUAAGUGUUAUUCAUGUUUAAUAGGUUUAAAGGGUACCUAGACGGCUAAUUAAACACUUUAAUGUAUUAAUUAACUAGAGUUUGAUAUAAGAAGGUUUGAGUACGGUGAGUGUAGAGAUAAAAUUCUAUUAGACCAUUAUGGAACUGGUAAAGGCGAAGGCAACCUUCUAUGUAAAAACUGACGUUAAGGGACGAAGGCUCGUAAAAAAAAACAGGAUUAGAUACCCUGGUAUUCUGGGCAGACAAUGAUGAGUGUCAUAUGCAANAAAAAAAUUUUGUGUAUAAACGAAAGUGUAAGCACUCCACCUCAAGAGUAACAUGGCAACAUGGGAACUGAAAUCAUUAGACCGUUUCUGAAACUCGUAGUGAAGUAUGUUGUUUAAUUUGAUAAUCCACAAAUAACCUUACCACAACUUGAAUUACUUUAGUUAGCUGAAGUAACAAGCGUUGCACGGCUGUCUCCAGUCAAUGUUGUGAAACCGUGGUUUGAUCCAUUGAAUUGACGUAAACCCUCACUCCACUUACUGUGGAGUGGUUCGCCGCUAUAUUGGUAGUGAUAUAUGGGACUAAGAUAAGUCAUCAUGACCUGAACGUUGUGGGCUAUA
RNAcentral lists this ribosomal RNA (687 nucleotides) under Thelotrema lepadinum. Its description in RNAcentral is "SSU rRNA". It matches the Rfam family "Bacterial small subunit ribosomal RNA", at positions 450 to 1218 of the family's 1533-position model. Lineage: Eukaryota; Fungi; Ascomycota; Lecanoromycetes; Ostropales; Graphidaceae. The record is from RNAcentral.